RNAcentral lists this transfer RNA (72 nucleotides) under Astyanax mexicanus (Mexican tetra). It matches the Rfam family "tRNA". Rfam says of the family: Transfer RNA (tRNA) molecules are approximately 80 nucleotides in length. Their secondary structure includes four short double-helical elements and three loops (D, anti-codon, and T loops). Further hydrogen bonds mediate the characteristic L-shaped molecular structure. tRNAs have two regions of fundamental functional importance: the anti-codon, which is responsible for specific mRNA codon recognition, and the 3' end, to which the tRNAs corresponding amino acid is attached (by aminoacyl-tRNA synthetases). tRNAs cope with the degeneracy of the genetic code in two manners: having more than one tRNA (with a specific anti-codon) for a particular amino acid; and 'wobble' base-pairing, i.e. permitting non-standard base-pairing at the 3rd anti-codon position. Lineage: Eukaryota; Metazoa; Chordata; Actinopteri; Characiformes; Acestrorhamphidae. The record is from Rfam by way of RNAcentral.
CCCAAGGUGGCCUUAAUGGAUAAGGCACUGGCCUUCCUAAGCCAGGGAUUGUGGGUUCGAGUCCCAUUGGGG